Molecule: ribosomal RNA, 205 nt
Filed under: uncultured eukaryote
Lineage: Eukaryota
Description: partial 18S ribosomal RNA
Rfam family: Eukaryotic small subunit ribosomal RNA
Source: RNAcentral
UGGUGGAGUGAUUUGUCUGGUUAAUUCCGUUAACGAACGAGACCUUAACCUGCUAAAUAGUAACCAAAGACUUCUACAAAACAUGGUGGGGUUUAGGGUGAAGUUUCGAUGGAUCCCGACACCUUAUCAUGUGGAUGUCUUUUGGGUUUUUACUUCUUAGAGGGACUAUCUGUAUUAAAGCAGAUGGAAGUUUGAGGCAAUAACA